This 361-nucleotide ribosomal RNA is filed under the name Salmonella enterica subsp. enterica. Its description in RNAcentral is "bacterial SSU rRNA". It matches the Rfam family "Bacterial small subunit ribosomal RNA", at positions 636 to 996 of the family's 1533-position model. The record is from RNAcentral. Lineage: Bacteria; Pseudomonadati; Pseudomonadota; Gammaproteobacteria; Enterobacterales; Enterobacteriaceae.
GCAGGCUUGAGUCUUGUAGAGGGGGGUAGAAUUCCAGGUGUAGCGGUGAAAUGCGUAGAGAUCUGGAGGAAUACCGGUGGCGAAGGCGGCCCCCUGGACAAAGACUGACGCUCAGGUGCGAAAGCGUGGGGAGCAAACAGGAUUAGAUACCCUGGUAGUCCACGCCGUAAACGAUGUCUACUUGGAGGUUGUGCCCUUGAGGCGUGGCUUCCGGAGCUAACGCGUUAAGUAGACCGCCUGGGGAGUACGGCCGCAAGGUUAAAACUCAAAUGAAUUGACGGGGGCCCGCACAAGCGGUGGAGCAUGUGGUUUAAUUCGAUGCAACGCGAAGAACCUUACCUGGUCUUGACAUCCACAGAAG